This 636-nucleotide long non-coding RNA is filed under the name Salmo salar (Atlantic salmon). RNAcentral describes it as "lncRNA (ENSSSAG00000094235.1)". The record is from RNAcentral. Lineage: Eukaryota; Metazoa; Chordata; Actinopteri; Salmoniformes; Salmonidae.
GUCAAAAGACCAAUUAGUGGAAAAAAAAGACGUGUAAAUGCAGCCCAUGUUACUCUUUUCAACAGAUCUUUACCAUGUGACUUCACGUUUUUUUCUUGGAUUGCUGAACAUACCACGUCUCGUUCAGCGCUUUGACGUCCUGAGACAUACUGCUGAUGUAAUUGGGCAUCUGGACACCAGUGCAUUCUUGAACCAAGUAACUUGGUCUCACUCCUCCAAAGAUGGGGCCAGGACCACCUCCGAUUCCCUCCCUGGCAGCUUUGUGGUCGUAAAGCACAGGGCUCCCGAGUGGCGCAGUGGUCUAAGGGACUGCAUCUCAGUGCAAGAGGCGUUACUACAGUCCCUGGUUCAAUUCCAGGCUGUAUCACAUCCAUCUGUGAUCGGGUGUCCCGUAGGGCGGCGCGCAAUUGGCCCGGCAUCGUCAGGGUUUGGCCAGGACACGCAGUGUCAACCAAUGAACCAAAGAUGCAUGAGGGAGGGCCGAGCCAACUCACUCAGUCACACACUUAGCAGACCCGAGGAGAGAGAGGAAGGACAGCUGUGAAAACAACAGCUGGAAAAUGAGUCGGAAGCACAGUAGCAUUUGGAUGCAUUUUAAUAAUGUAGACAAUGUUAGAGCACAGUGUAGAAUUUGCC